AACGAACGCUGGCGGCAUGCCUAACACAUGCAAGUCGAACGAGACCUUCGGGUCUAGUGGCGCACGGGUGCGUAACGCGUGGGAACCUGCCCUUAGGUUCGGAAUAACUCCCCGAAAGGGGUGCUAAUACCGGAUAAUGUCUUCGGACCAAAGAUUUAUCGCCUUUGGAUGGGCCCGCGUUGGAUUAGCUAGUUGGUAGGGUAAAAGCCUACCAAGGCGACGAUCCAUAGCUGGUCUGAGAGGAUGAUCAGCCACACUGGGACUGAGACACGGCCCAGACUCCUACGGGAGGCAGCAGUGGGGAAUAUUGGAAAAUGGGCGGAAGGCUGAUCCAGCAAUGCCGCGUGAGUGAUGAAGGCCUUAGGGUUGUAAAGCUCUUUUACCCGGGAUGAUAAUGACAGUACCGGGAGAAUAAGCUCCGGCUAACUCCGUG
Molecule: ribosomal RNA, 433 nt
Filed under: uncultured bacterium
Lineage: Bacteria
Description: partial 16S ribosomal RNA
Rfam family: Bacterial small subunit ribosomal RNA
Source: RNAcentral